AGCGUAGGUGGCCUAACAUGUCAACUGUGAAAACCCGGAGCUCAACUCCGGACUUGCAGUUGAAACUGGUAGGCCUGAGGACGGUAGAGGAAGACGGAACUGCCAGUGUAGGGGUAAAAUCCUUAGAUAUUGGCAGGAACGCCGGUGACGAAGGUGGUUUUCUGGGCCGGUUCUGACACUGAUGCUCGAAAGCCAGGGGAGCGAACG
RNAcentral lists this ribosomal RNA (207 nucleotides) under uncultured Mesotoga sp. RNAcentral's name for it is "partial 16S ribosomal RNA". It matches the Rfam family "Bacterial small subunit ribosomal RNA", at positions 568 to 774 of the family's 1533-position model. Lineage: Bacteria; Thermotogati; Thermotogota; Thermotogae; Kosmotogales; Kosmotogaceae. The record is from RNAcentral.